RNAcentral lists this long non-coding RNA (222 nucleotides) under Capsicum annuum. RNAcentral's name for it is "long non-coding RNA (CANN_LNC011745)". The record is from RNAcentral. Lineage: Eukaryota; Viridiplantae; Streptophyta; Magnoliopsida; Solanales; Solanaceae.
AAAAAUGAAAAGAAAAUAGUUAGCCUUUAACAAAAAAUUAAAAUAUGAGUAAUAUUAAAAAUUCUUCACCAUGAUUUUUGACAAGAACAAAGAAAAGAAACAAAAAUAAAUGUAAACAUACAAAGAGAAACUUAUUGAAGAAUUCGGACACUUGCACUUCAUAGAAUAUGAGAACAACGACUUGGAGUUCAAAGUCGACACUUGCAAUAUGAGAAAGCAGGG